GGUGGGGUUCCCGAGCGGGCUAAGGGAGCAGACUGUCACUCUGCCGUCAUCGACUUCGAAGGGUCGAAUCCUUCCCCCACCACCA
Molecule: transfer RNA, 85 nt
Filed under: Salmonella enterica subsp. enterica serovar Enteritidis
Lineage: Bacteria; Pseudomonadati; Pseudomonadota; Gammaproteobacteria; Enterobacterales; Enterobacteriaceae
Description: tRNA-Asp
Rfam family: tRNA
About the family: Transfer RNA (tRNA) molecules are approximately 80 nucleotides in length. Their secondary structure includes four short double-helical elements and three loops (D, anti-codon, and T loops). Further hydrogen bonds mediate the characteristic L-shaped molecular structure. tRNAs have two regions of fundamental functional importance: the anti-codon, which is responsible for specific mRNA codon recognition, and the 3' end, to which the tRNAs corresponding amino acid is attached (by aminoacyl-tRNA synthetases). tRNAs cope with the degeneracy of the genetic code in two manners: having more than one tRNA (with a specific anti-codon) for a particular amino acid; and 'wobble' base-pairing, i.e. permitting non-standard base-pairing at the 3rd anti-codon position.
Source: RNAcentral